This 69-nucleotide transfer RNA is filed under the name Gnathotrichus materiarius. RNAcentral describes it as "tRNA-Gln". The record is from RNAcentral. Lineage: Eukaryota; Metazoa; Arthropoda; Insecta; Coleoptera; Curculionidae.
UAUGCUUAAGUAUAGGAUGUAUAAAAGUUUUUGAUACUUUAGGGGAUAGUUUGAAUCUAUUAGGUGUAA